This 507-nucleotide ribosomal RNA is filed under the name Bradysia scabricornis. Its description in RNAcentral is "partial small subunit ribosomal RNA". The record is from RNAcentral. Lineage: Eukaryota; Metazoa; Arthropoda; Insecta; Diptera; Sciaridae.
GUCUUUUUGUAAUUAAUUUAAAGUCUAACCUGCCCAUUGAAUAAAUUUUAAAAGGCUGCGGUAUAUUAACCGUACAAAGGUAGCAUAAUCAUUAGUUUUUUAAUUGAAAACUUGUAUGAAUGGUUGAAUGAAAAAUUAACUUUUUUAAAUAAAAAAUUGAAUUUUACUUUUUAGUUAAAAGGCUAAAAUAUAUUUAAAAGACGAGAAGACCCUAUAGAGUUUUAUAAUUCAUUAUUAUUAUUUUUAAAGUUUAUUUAAUAUAAUAUUAGUCAAAUUAUUUUAUUGGGGUGAUAAUAAAAUUUAAUUAACUUUUAUUAAUUUUAUACAUUAAUAUAUGAAUAUUUGAUCCAGUAAUUAUUGAUUAAAAAAUUAAAUUACCUUAGGGAUAACAGCGUAAUUUUUUUUUAAGCUCUUAUUAAUAAAAAAUUUUGCGACCUCGAUGUUGGAUUAAGAUUAAAUUUAGGUGCAGCAGCUUAAAUUUUGAGUCUGUUCGACUUUUAAAUUCUU